UACGGAGGGUGCGAGCGUUGUCCGGAUUUAUUGGGUUUAAAGGGUGCGUAGGCGGCUUUAUAAGUCAGGGGUGAAAGCCGGUAGCUUAACUGGCGAGGUGCGUUUGAUACUGUAGAGCUUGAGUCCAGAUGAGGUAGGCGGAAUUGAUGGUGUAGCGGUGAAAUGCAUAGAUACCAUCAGGAACACCGAUUGCGAAGGCAGCUUACUGGGCUGUAACUGACGCUGAGGCACGAAAGUGCGGGGAGCAAACAGG
Molecule: ribosomal RNA, 253 nt
Filed under: uncultured bacterium
Lineage: Bacteria
Description: partial 16S ribosomal RNA
Rfam family: Bacterial small subunit ribosomal RNA
Source: RNAcentral